RNAcentral lists this ribosomal RNA (397 nucleotides) under uncultured bacterium. Its description in RNAcentral is "partial 16S ribosomal RNA". It matches the Rfam family "Bacterial small subunit ribosomal RNA", at positions 523 to 918 of the family's 1533-position model. The record is from RNAcentral.
AUACGUAGGGGGCGAGCGUUGUCCGGAAUGAUUGGGCGUAAGGGGCGCGUAGGCGGCGCGGUAAGUCUGGAGUGAAAGUCCUGCUUUCAAGGUGGGAAUUGCUUUGGAUACUGCCGCGCUUGAGUGCAGGAGAGGUUAUCGGAAUUCCCGGUGUAGCGGUGAAAUGCGUAGAGAUCGGGAGGAACACCAGUGGCGAAGGCGGGUAACUGGACUGCAACUGACGCUGAGGCGCGAAAGUGUGGGGAGCAAACAGGAUUAGAUACCCUGGUAGUCCACACUGUAAACGAUGAAUGCUAGGUGUAGGGGGUAUCGACCCCUUCUGUGCCGCAGUCAACACAAUAAGCAUUCCGCCUGGGGAGUACGGCCGCAAGGUUGAAACUCAAAGGAAUCGACGGGG